CCCUUAGAUGUUCUGGGCCGCACGCGCGCUACACUGUUCGACGCAGCGAGUCUUAACCUUGACCGAAAGGUUUGGGUAAUCUUCAGCAAAGUCGAACGUGAUGGGGAUCGAUCAUUGCAAUUAUUGAUCGUGAACGAGGAAUUCCUAGUAAGUGCAAGUCAUCAGCUUGCGCUGAUUACGUCCCUGCACUUUGUACACACCGCCCGUCGCACCUACCGAUUGAAUGGUCCGGUGAGGACUCGGGAUUUUUACCAGUUUCCUUCAUUGGGAAUUGGUGAGGAGAACUUGUCCAAACCUUAUCAUUUAGAGGAAGGUGAAGUCGUAACA
RNAcentral lists this ribosomal RNA (327 nucleotides) under uncultured eukaryote. RNAcentral's name for it is "partial 18S ribosomal RNA". It matches the Rfam family "Eukaryotic small subunit ribosomal RNA", at positions 1470 to 1796 of the family's 1831-position model. The record is from RNAcentral.